CCCCUCUCAGGGUCACACCUGGAGAGUUUCCAGUACUCUACCGGUCACGACUACAGGAGGGAGAGUCAAGCAGAGGCCUGUCCAUUCCAUUCCUAGCUUGGCCAGUGGCUAGCAAGUGGAAAGCAAUCUGCUACAAGU
RNAcentral lists this small nucleolar RNA (138 nucleotides) under Ornithorhynchus anatinus (platypus). The record is from RNAcentral. Lineage: Eukaryota; Metazoa; Chordata; Mammalia; Monotremata; Ornithorhynchidae.